Molecule: ribosomal RNA, 254 nt
Filed under: uncultured bacterium
Lineage: Bacteria
Description: partial 16S ribosomal RNA
Rfam family: Bacterial small subunit ribosomal RNA
Source: RNAcentral
UACGUAGGGCGCAAGCGUUGUCCGGAAUUAUUGGGCGUAAAGAGCUCGUAGGCGGUUUGUCACGUCGGCUGUGAAAACCCGAGGCUCAACCUCGGGCCUGCAGUCGAUACGGGCAGACUAGAGUGCUGUAGGGGAGACUGGAAUUCCUGGUGUAGCGGUGAAAUGCGCAGAUAUCAGGAGGAACACCGGUGGCGAAGGCGGGUCUCUGGGCAGUAACUGACGCUGAGGAGCGAAAGCGUGGGGGAGCAAACAGG